Molecule: long non-coding RNA, 862 nt
Filed under: Setaria italica (foxtail millet)
Lineage: Eukaryota; Viridiplantae; Streptophyta; Magnoliopsida; Poales; Poaceae
Description: long non-coding RNA (SITA_LNC004010)
Source: RNAcentral
GGCUGUGAAGAAUUGGAUGCAUACACCAAGUAACAUAUAACAUAAGAAUCAAAAUACAAGUGCAUUCUCCUCAGCAAAGUAGCAAACUGAGUUUAACAACCAACAACAUCAUCCUUCUGCCCUAGUUGACUAAUGUACUGCAAGUAACACUUUAGAAAUAGUAUCGGGUUAAACAAGAAGCCGUCAAGUUUUUUAUCCAUACAAAUAAAAUAUGUCUACAUUUGGUCGCAAGCUACUCUACAAAAAGUAAAGGACCGCGAGCACUUUAAUCAUAUGGAGAUGCGUCAAAGUAAUUGAAAGAGAGUGGAAUCGCGUCCAAGAAGAUACUUUUGGCGUUAGAGCACUACCGAUGCCUGACAUUUUUUUGUUCUUAAAGGAGCAGAUGCGGCAUCAGAAUCGCCUGCUCCACCAGCAUUUUGGAUUCUUUAAUAAGCAAAGAAAAUGUUGACUGGCGUUGCAGCCGGAACCAAGGCCGUGUUUAGUUUGGCGAAUUUGGGGGUGCUAAAUUACUGUUACAGCACUGUAGCACACUGUAGCGUUUCGUUUGUAUUUGUGAAUUAUUGUCCAAAUAUUGACUAAUUAGGCUCAAAAGAUUCGUCUCGCAAAGUACAACAAAACUGUGCAAUUAGUUUUUAAUUUCAUCUACAUUUAGUACUCCAUGCAUGUACCGCAAGUUUGAUGUGAUGGGGAAUCUUCUUUUUGCAUAGUGUCAAAGUUGGGAGUUGGGAGUAACUAAACAUGGCCCAAAAGCAAUGACGCUGGCGUACCGUCAGAGGUUCGGUGGGGCCCUCACCUGCUUGAGCGAGGCGAGGAACGUGAUCCCCCCGCACUGCAGCGGCGGCCGCACCAUGGCGACGGCUGC